UCAGGCAGUGGUUGAUGUUUUGAAGAGCUGACUCUACACAUAUCAAUCACCAUUUGACAAGACGAUCAGGAGCCAAGAAUUAAAGGGAAUCCUGAAUAUCGGGGGAAACACGCCAGCGGGAAUCUAAAUGAUGUCAAACAAUAUCGGAAGUGACAAGCUCUUUAGAAGUUCCUGUGCUAUCAUCCUAUUGGAAAAGCAUAUCAAAAAGACCAUCUCGCAAAGGUGUCCUUCUGGAACAGCGGCGCAAGGGGGAAGUAGCCAGAUGCGACCCACUUUGGCAUAUCCGUCGUUUAUUGUAAAUAUGAUGAUUUUUACUAGCCCGAAGACACACGGAGUGAGCUGGCCCAGGAUUCUAGGCACUUCGCUCCAUCAGAUUUCAGUAAAGUUUAUCUAUCGUGAGUUCGUAUCCAAAGAACAUCAUAAAAUGGAGGGCCAAGGCAAUAUUUCCCCCAAGUGAGACUUCACACAAGGGAAGCGAAUCAGAGUUUGCAUCCAAAUCUGGAAAUGUAUUAAACUCCUAUUGUUGUAGUCGUCACAUCCUCGUAUGAAAAGGCCUAAAUUUAUAUGG
This is a long non-coding RNA of Ornithorhynchus anatinus (platypus), 568 nucleotides long. RefSeq lists it as uncharacterized. NCBI's taxonomy places the organism in Eukaryota, Metazoa, Chordata, Mammalia, Monotremata, Ornithorhynchidae. The record is from RefSeq and is a predicted model, not a curated record. The transcript has 3 exons.